This 29-nucleotide non-coding RNA is filed under the name Mus musculus (house mouse). The record is from RNAcentral. Lineage: Eukaryota; Metazoa; Chordata; Mammalia; Rodentia; Muridae.
UUCCUAGGAACUUAUUUCAUAGAAAAGGG